RNAcentral lists this long non-coding RNA (1470 nucleotides) under Equus caballus (horse). RNAcentral's name for it is "lncRNA (ENSECAG00000055688.1)". Lineage: Eukaryota; Metazoa; Chordata; Mammalia; Perissodactyla; Equidae. The record is from RNAcentral.
GGGCUGCCCGUGGCUGGCGUGUGCUCAGCCACUGCUACAACCCUCAUAGUAACUCCAGGAGGGGGGUGCGAGGGUCUAGCUCAAGAGGUGUUUGUUUGGUCAUGUGUUACAGAUACCAAUUUCAUAAUGGCUUGUCACAAAGAGGAAUUUAUUGAAAAGCACAGAGGUGUCUCAUGGGUAGACCCGAAGGGCAGAACCUCACCAGGGCCUGAACUGCACGGGCAGUCGCUUAUUCACUCACCCCAGGCCCCUUCCUCUCCCACCUCAGCCAACAGACCAGACUCAGGAAGGAUGCUCGUUCCCAAACCCAAGUUCCAGGAGAGAUGAUCUGAUUGGCCCAGCUCCAGUCAGGGGUCCACCACGGUCCAAUCAGGACUGGCCAGUAUUUUGCAUGUAUGCUUGAUCUUCAUUCAGUUCAAUUCAGUUCAGUUCAACUCAACUCACAUAGAUUGUAUGUCCUCAGUGUACUGGGCCUCAGGAGGAAAGCAAAGAUGCACAAAACCUGGGUCUCGGUCUCCGCGAGCUUCAAGGGAGUUAGAGAGUGGAAAUCUCAGGUCCCAACCAAUUCUUCUACAAGACGGGCCAUGAUGAACAUUCCGGCAGGGGGUGCCCCCCAUGCUGUCUGGGUGUGCGGGUAUUCAUUUUAAUGUGGAGCAGCAGGAAAAUCCAAAUAGAGGAGAAGAAUUUGUUUUUGUGAUUUUAAAUAACAUUAGUGAUGUUGUUUUCAUUGAGAUCUUGCCUAUUUUUCAUUCUUGCAAGCACAAGCUCCCUGCAUUCCCCCACGCUCCCAGAUGGCUUAAUGCUGAUCUGGUGCCAGUGCUCAGGAAACUGGGCAGAUAUCCGCAGAGAUCCUCAAAGAGGCGGAGACAGACAUCUGGGUCAUCACUCCAUGACCUAACUGUGGCGUCUCCCAGACUGAUCCCAGCAGAGUGGGCAGCAGAUCAAUGCGCGGUACCUUUGGCCUUUUCUCUCACCAGUGGGGAUUCGGGCCAGCUAACAGACUUCUUGCUCUGGGUGCUCAAAAGCUGUUGGAAGGAAUCUGGGUCCCUGCAUGGCUGCCUGGAGCAGAGCAUCGCCCCUUCCACGGACCUCCAUAGGACUGGAGGACUGUGACAUGUGCAAGAAAUGAAGCUGUCCUCAAAUUGCUGGAGCAGUUAGCCCAUCCUGGCCAAGGCAGUCGACAACUUGCAUUUUCCAUUAAAUAUAUCUAUAGAUAGAUAAAUAGAACAUCAUUCAUGUCAAUUCAUAUAAACCUGUCUGAUACUUUUUUUUUUUUGGUGAGGAAGAUUGUCCCUGAGCUAACAUCUGUGCCAGUCUUCCUCUAUUUUGUAUGCGGGACGCCACUACAGCAUGGCUUGAUGAGCAGUGUACAGGUCUGUGCCCAGGAUCCAAACCCAUGAACCCCAGGCUGCUGCAGCGGAAGGUGCGAACUUAACCACUAUGCCGCUGGGCCAGCCCCUAAAUCUGCCU